RNAcentral lists this ribosomal RNA (499 nucleotides) under uncultured bacterium. RNAcentral describes it as "partial 16S ribosomal RNA". It matches the Rfam family "Bacterial small subunit ribosomal RNA", at positions 29 to 523 of the family's 1533-position model. The record is from RNAcentral.
AUUGAACGCUGGCGGCAUGCCUUACACAUGCAAGUCGAACGGCAACGCGGGGGAAACCUUGGCGGCGAGUGGCGAACGGGUGAGUAAAAUAUCGGAACGUACCCUGGAAUGGGGGAUAACGUAGCGAAAGUUACGCUAAUACCGCAUACGAUCUAAGGAUGAAAGUGGGGGACCGGAAGGCCUCACGUUCUAGGAGCGGCCGAUAACUGAUUAGCUAGUUGGUGGGGUAAAGGCCCACCAAGGCGACGAUCAGUAGCUGGUCUGAGAGGACGACCAGCCACACUGGGCCUGAGACACGGCCCAGACUCCUACGGGAGGCAGCAGUGGGGAGUUUUGGACAAUGGGGGAAACCCUGAUCCAGCAAUGCCGCGUGAGUGAAGAAGGCCUUCGGGUUGUAAAGCUCUUUUGUCGGGGAGAAACGGUGGUGGCUAAUACCUACUACUAAUGACGGUACCCGAAGAAUAAGCACCGGCUAACUACGUGCCAGCAGCCGCGGUAA